GGGAGGUGUCCUUCUGGCCAGUUCUGUAACUCUAAAAAAAUUUCACCAUUUAUCCACAAGAGUCCUUCACAUCAUCACAUUGGUGGCACAGGCCUUGGAAGCAGUCUCCCUGGGGCAGUUCCGGCUCAAUCAUCAAGACAGGGCAGUGGUGGCUGCACGCUUUCCUCCUGCCUAAUGCCCGUCUUAGAGGCUCUCAUUGAGCUUGGUGACUCCCCACCCCAACACAUGCCUGCAGCACCAGGAACCCUGCUUUGCAUGUAGUGCUAGAUAUUUGCUUAAUAUUUAUUAUAAUGACUAUUUAAUCAUCUCCCUUCCCAGAUGUUUGGCUUUCCUGGCAUCUUCUUCCACAGCACCCUUUCAGCUUUGUCUUCCUGGGUUGUCA
This 382-nucleotide long non-coding RNA is filed under the name Homo sapiens (human). Its description in RNAcentral is "HSALNT0381486". The record is from RNAcentral. Lineage: Eukaryota; Metazoa; Chordata; Mammalia; Primates; Hominidae.